Molecule: long non-coding RNA, 25950 nt
Filed under: Volvox carteri
Lineage: Eukaryota; Viridiplantae; Chlorophyta; Chlorophyceae; Chlamydomonadales; Volvocaceae
Description: long non-coding RNA (VCAR_LNC002370)
Source: RNAcentral
AACAGUUCAUCUGCGCAUACCCCACACCAUAUCGUGGCGCGAUAGUCUCUUCUGCCCCCCCCCACACACACAUACAUACACAGACACAUACAUACAAGGCCUGACUUCUGCUCCCAGUCGACCCAGUCGACCCGGGUUCAAAUCCGCCUGCCAGCUCCUCGGGUGUUUGAGGAGUGAUGAAAUGGGAGGUGGCCCCCCAUCAUAUGGACGGUGUAGGACGUGAUAAUAUCAACUUGCGAGCUGACCAGGAACUAAGUUGAUGCGCCGUUGAUCCGCUAGAUUUGGUUGGAUGCUGGUGGUGAGUUGCCGAACCCAACGAAUACAUUCUGAAGUCGGAUGGGGUGACGGAUUAGGGUGCCCCUCUAGCAGGGGAGAGCAGGGACUGCCCCGGGAAAGGGGGCCGCUGGCGAAGUUAACCACCCUGUAACAACAUACAUACACAGACCGUCCUACUCGACCACCCACUCACCCCCCAGGUGCCAGGAUAGGCCAGGCGGCGGUGUCUAGAGGAGUCGUCAGUCGGGAGCACAUCGCCAAGACGGAAAAGUUCUACGAAAAGUGAGGACGGACCCCCUCCCCCAUAUCCCCUCUGUGCAUAUGUGGGUGGGUGUGUGUUUUGUGCACGUGUGUACGACUGAGUGACGCCGACCGCCCAUCCGAGGCCUCACCGUACUUAAACAUGUACGACAUUUCCACCCCUGCCAGGUACGGCGGGAAGACGGUGGUCCUGGCGCGUUUCGUGCCUAUCGUCCGCACCUUUGCACCCUUUGUGGCGGGUAUUGGCAGCAUGCCGUACGGCAAGUAAGUAUGAAUACGUCCGGAGGAGGGGGGAGAGGAUAAUAAAAUGUUGUAUGUGGUCAUUCAUUGCAUUGGACAUUCCUUUUGGUGUUUGGCACUUGGAGCUGUACAGUGGUGCCGUACGUGAUGGCGCUCCGUGAUUCCCCCCGCCCUCUCCCUCCCGGGGGGGGGGGUUGGGUUCGUUUGGGGGGGGGAAAGGGGGAAGUGGCGAAAUGCAACAUUGGAGAAGCCAAUGGCGACGUGCCGUAUGUUAAAUGGGUGGAGAGAGAGGGUGCCUGUGAAGGGGUCUUUGCGGGACCUCAGCGUUUUGAUCUGUCGUACCGUAUAUGGCUGCAAGUGGGGAGAUGGUUUCUGUUAUGACAUGCCUGGUGUCUGUCUGUGUGUGUCUGUGUAUGUUUGUGUGUAUGUUUGUGUGUAUGUUUGUUUGCGCAGGUUCGCCUGGUACAAUGUGGCUGGAGCACUCCUAUGGACCUUCUUGUUCGUGGGUAAGAGUCUUGAUUGAGGGUGGUGGUUAAGAGUGCAGGGGGAGGCGGAGGCCCCGUUUGUGGAGAACGCCCUUUGUGUGUCGCUUUGAUCGAGCUGUGAGCAGAGACUGGGGGACUGGGGGGCCAGAGAGAGAGAGAGAGAGAAAGCGAGACAGAGGGUAUAAAUUGCGAUGAUAGUCGACUCUCUGGCCGCCCACCAUCACAACCACCACCCCCCAGCAGUAGUCCAUAUCGCCACUACUGCACAGCGCCUCCGGCUCUCCCUCACCCCCUCAGGCGUCUCCCUCUCUCCCCGUUGUCAUUAUCUUGUCAAAAUAGUCCACUGCGCUUAUUACCACGGCUAUUAUUUCUACCACUGGAAUAUUAACAACAUUAUUGCUACUUUUGUCUUUGUUGAAACCCAGCACGUUGUGGCACCUUCAAGGUCUGUAGUUGAGGUACUUUUCGUGGCUCAGCUCUAUUACGACUCGCGCAGGUGCCGGGUUCUUCUUCGGCAAUUUGCCGUUUGUGCGCAAGAACUUCACGCUCGUAGUGCUCGGCAUCGUGGCCGUGUCCGUGAUGCCGGUCAUCUACGAGCUGUGGGCGGCGAGGCAAGAGGCCGGAGAGGCGGCUGCGUCUAGCGGUCGCGACGGUGGCGGCGGUGGUGGUGGGGAGGGAGGCGGAGGGCGUGGGGCGGACGGUGGUGGGCCCGGCAGCAAGCCCAACUUUGCCUGAACGAGGACCAAGUCAGCUAGCUUGUUUUUCGCAGCAGCCCCGCCUGCUUUCAUUCUUCUUCUUCUGCUGCUGCUCCUACUUAUAUCGCUGCUGCUCCUACUUCUAUCGCUGCUGCUGCUAGUACUGCAACUUCGCGCAGUGGUUGUGGUAAUGGUGGUUUAAAUGGUUAGGGUGGUUGGGAGGGGGCCCCGUCGGUACUGACAGCGGACUGGUAGAAGCCGAGCACGACAAAACACACCGACACCUCUCUCCUCCACCCUGACACCCCCCCAAUGUAUACAUACACACGCUCAUGCACACACACUUCUCCCAUCUGACCGUUGGUCGAGGGCGAGGUGGCGAAUGCUGAUGGAGUCGUGAGUGUGUAGAGAGGCAGGCGUUGGUAGGUAGGUAGGUAGGUGGGAGAGGAGAGGGUCAUUCGGGUGCACCUCAAGUGGAGGCUCCUGCUGCGAGUUUGUUUGGACAGAAUUGAACUGUCAGGUGUAUGUAUGUAAGUAUUUAUGUAUGUAUACAUGCGGAUAUCUUUUGUUGUUAAGUUAGGGUUGGGGAGGGGGCCCGCCUAAAGAACGAAGAGGCUCUCCUCCCGUCUCCUGCCAGAGUCAUUGGAGUCCGGUUGGGGAUGAAUGGGUGGUGUUACCCGACAACGGGGAUCCUGUGACCAUCUUGGUUAAAAUAUCUGGGGAAAUAACUAGCACAUACACUAUAUAUAUUUUUUCAUCAUUUUCGUUAUGAAUAAGUGUUAGGUAGCUACUGAAAAUUGUGCCCUAGAGUUUCCCCGCAUCCAGCUUGCGCACAAAGUAGCACAUUUAUGCCAGACAAUUUUUUGACCCAAAUUUAAAAUUAGCACAUAUGGACCCCAAUGAAGGAACCGACUUCCUGGGCAGAGGCUCGACCGGUUUCAAGUCGGAGAUAACACCAUAUCAUUCUGCGGGGCAUAGAAAGCAUAGGAACCACACCAUACCAUACCCAUCGCGCCAUAUUACAUACCAGGACACGGCCCAUAUGACCCCACCGAAACCGGAGGACGUACGACUAACAUUUCGCAUAUAUAUACGGUCUAUGUAAAUGUCGUGUAUAUUUAAACAAAGAGAACAAGAUUAAGCCUUGCGGAAGACGACCGGGGGGCCAAUGCUACUGGUGCCCACCCGCAUCCGCACCACUCUGGUGGCUAGGCCCGCGGGGCUGCUGGGGCUGCUAUCUCUCGUAGAAGAUCGUGUGUGCGCCAAUACCUCCCGAGACGAAGGGUUCAUCUACGGUGAAGUCUACCACGGCCUACGCACCACCAAGGAUUGCGGUCUUACUUGGUGCUUCGGGCUACUACUACUACUACUACUACUACUACUAGAAAGAAGGCUAACCACAUAUUACGCAAGUAACCAAUUACUCCCUGUACAGAUUUCCCCCUCCUUCCAUCCACCCAGCCAUAAUCACGCGCAAAUACACAUCUCCCCGCCCCCCCUAUUCCCCCCCUCCAAGUUUCCGAAACCCUGUGCCAAGGAGGACAUGACAUUUGACCACAGAACCUGAUUAAUUUGGCCUCUCACCAACAGAAAGCUCCUCCUCCUAGGCACGGAACCGGAUAAUGAGAUAUUGCAGGGGAGAGAGAGGUACCCAACAAUGACACACUGCAGCCAACCAGCCAACCAACCUGCAAAGACGAAAGGCCAACGCCGGAAGACAAAAACAAACACGCUUGAAAUGGCACAACAACAGAGCCCAGCUGGGGGCUGGGCGUUGCCCAUGCCCCGAAAGAAAAAGCCCGAAGCCACCGAAGAGGAGCCCGGUCCGCCCGUCCGGACGAGCUCCAAAGCAGCCUCUGCCAAGACCGCUUUCCUUUAUCCUUCAAACGCAAUGCAGCCUCGCCGUGAAUGGCUUCGUGACGAAGUUACCAGGUUGCUUCACAGCUGUCCUCGUCACAGCCGUUAGAGUUCAGAUUCGUCGCUGCUGGAAUCCAUCGGCACAAGAUAAGCGUUAGUGGACGGGGAGGGGGGGGGGAGAAGAGGUGGUGAUUGAUACUGGAAGAAAAGAGUGUUAGUUCCAAAGCCAGUCUGCAAGAUAGUGAAACCCCCCUCACGACACGCCCUUCCAUCCUUUCAUGUGUACGGCAACAACCUACGACAAGAAUCAUGUCAUAGGUGUAGAUGAAGAAGCGAAAAGAAAAGAAUAAGAGAAAUCAAGUGCGGUGGGCUCCUCUGAACCAUAUCCUUAUUCCCAGCAACAGAGCAAAGGUUAAUAAAAAAGUCGCAACCGCUCCUCCCACUGUACAACCUAGAGUUAGGAGCUACUAACCGCAUUUCAAUUCCUCACCCGACCUUAUCUUUCCCCACUCCUCGGGAGCCCACUCCACCCUUUUACCAACCCUUAACAUCACCACCACCACACCACUAUCCUUAAUCAAAAACUCAAUCCCCACCGACGGGAAGGAUAUGGAUCAUUGCCUCAUUCAUUCUCACCCGAGCCCACUUCACAGAGAGCAGGUAGCAAGCAGCCGCCAACCAUCCACCCAACUGUCAAUUCAAGCCGAAGCCGUGAUUCUGUUGCAUCCACUGUGACGGCAUCCGUUCGUUCGUUUAUCCAACUAACCGACUAACUAACCAGUUACCAUUAUGUCAUCUAUAGGCGCGGCAGCCAUCUAUGUUCAGCUAUAUGUAUAACCCUGCCCUCCCCUACCCUCCCUGGACACGCCAGAUAUUCGGCCACAUCUUGUUCGUGUCAUUCAGGAUCGCACCGCCACCACCACAUCAUCACCACCCCAAAUUUCAUCCUCCUCGUCACCCCAUUCUCAUCCUCCUCAUCCCCAUCAUCAUCAAAUCCAUGGGACCGAAUGUUAACAGCUACAGCGAACGAAUGGCAGCCAGGGCGCUGUCCUUGAGCUUGCGGGCGUCUGCCGCCAUCGCCAUCGUUGGAGUGCUGGUGCUCGCUGCCGCUGCGGAAGUGGCGGUGGAAGGGGCCGCCUCCCCGACGCCGCUCUGAGCGGGCGCCGCACCCGCGACUGACACUAGUUGCUGCUCUAGCUGCACUUGUUGCUGUUGUUGUUGCUGAGAGGACAGGACCCGCAACAUGUGCUGCCAGCCACUCACAUGAGGAGCAUCGCGUGUACCUGGCGGGGACGGGAGGGUACAGAGAGAGGAAGGCGGGAGAAAGGAUGAUUUAGCAGAGGGCAGGAUAAUCCAUUACGGGUAGGUUCUUUUUUUUCCAACACCUGGACCCGUGUGUGCAUACACACAUUGCUAACUGCACUUCCAACAAAACUAAAUAUUAGCGGCCCCCGCCCGCGGGCGCUGUUUGAUAUUCGUUAUUAUUUUAGCAAAUCCAACAUCAGUUUCUGCUUACUGCUAGCAACAGGCGUAGCAACUUCGAACGCCUGCAGGAGUUGCGUGUUUUAGUUAAUCAGCUAUUCAGUUAACCAAAACAUCUAUCCGUGUAUAAGACCACCAUAUCUCAUUGAUUCAUUCAGAGUCAUACCUGUGUAUAUCCACGGACACCAGCUCCUGUGCUGGCCCACGGGGUCCAGCUCACGCAACUGGGUGUCGGCAGCAGCCGGCAGCGGCGACGCUACGCCGCCGCCGCUGCUGUUGCCGUACCUCUCCAGCCGCAGCCGCUUCGGCUCCGUCAGCCCGUCACCGCAGGAAACACCACUGCCCCCAGGGGUGGCUGCAGCAGGGGUCUGUGGCCGCGGCGGGUCUACGGCCAUGGGCUCAGGGGUGACCUGCUCCUCGGCUUUUCGCUUGCGGCCCGUCACGGCGACGGCAGCGGAUGUUUUUGAUGCUGCAAGCGGCGUCGUUCCACAGAGGGGGCUGCCGAAACCGCCGCCACUCCUGCUACUGCCGCCGUUGCGUUUCUGCUGUUGUGCUUCUGCGUCCAGGGCUACAAUUCCGAAGACAGGCUCGCUCGCGCUGGAGGACCCGAAGCGAAAGGCCGUUGAGGAAGAGGGCCCGGGGGUUCGCGCAGCAGCGCCGUGCAAGCCGUACUGCCCACCCGCUAUGGUCAUGCUAAGUGGAUCGGCGCCGCCGCCGAUGCCGCCGGAGGCGGCUACGGCGCUGAUAGCCCCGCCGCCGCUGCUCGCGCCGCCGGCACGGGGGCUGAGCAGCGCCGCUACGCCUGCGGCCUGCUGCGACGGCGUCAGCCUGCCCGUCGGCACCGGACGCAGACCGGCAAAGUUCCACAACCCUGUACGGCAAUUGCAGUGCGGGCAUUUGAGCACGACGGAGGACAUCGGGUAGCGCUCACGGUCGGAGGCGGCGGCGGUCGCCGCCGUCGCCGCCGAAACUGCGGGCUUCGAGGCGCUCUUGGGCUUGACGCCUAGAUGCUGCAAGCUGUAGCCUGCGGACUGAGUGUACGGCAGCGCGCCAGAGCCGCUAGCGGAGUCCGGCUGUAGCACGUCAAUGUCCCAGCCCAUUAGAGCCAGCAGCCGAGCCUUCUGCUGCGGCGUCAUUUUUGACGGCUGUAAGAUGUAAGUUGGCGAGGCUGCGGCGCCGCCGCCGGCUGAAAACUGUUCCCCAUCCGAGAACAAGGGCGACCCGACCGCCGCCAUCCCGGCGGCGGCUGCGGCGCCGCCGUCAGACCCCUCUGUCACGUCCGUGAUGCGAACCACCGUGCGCUUACGCGGCGUCGGCGUGCCGGUGCCGCCGACGGCGCCGCCAUCAAUUCCCAGCAUGACUAGGUCGUCGUACGACCCGUACGGCGCUGCAGCGCCCCGUAAAGCCUGAAUCGCGAUUGCGUCGAUCUCCGGCAAGACAUCCACCUUGAGGAGCUUUCCCUGGAGCGUUUGGAAGACCUGGCACAGCUCGUCGUUCGUGGUGUUGGGGAUGUAGGCCAGCAACGAGGGGUUGCACUGAGUUUGGCGCCAGGGGCACGAGGCGUUGUGCUUGGUGGUCAGGGAGGGUGAGAAGAGGUCUGCGAUUAGAAGGGGAAAUACGAUCACAGCGGAAGCGGCAGCAGGGAGUGUCACUGGCAGCGGGUAAAGGGCCCCGAGAAUUGCUAGAGCGAGCCGCAAUCGCGCACCUGCUGCCGCCUGGCGUUGGUCAUAGGAGACGUUUGGCGGGUAAACAAGCUUUGCGUUGCAAUGCUCGCAGCAAAGGCUGUCGACGGCAUCAUUUAUCCAACCCCGCAGCGCGCAUGGCACCGGUCCAACUGUAUCAGGCUUUGAAAACCAUGUCAGAGGCUUAUAUGUUUCAAGCCGGCGAUGCAGGUCGGACUGCUCCCAGGGCCGGAAGCGCUUGGGAGCGCGGCCGUGGCCGUCCCCUGUUGUGUAAAAGCUCCGGCCGCCAUUUUCAGCACCAUUGUCUCUUUCUCGACGCUUUCCCAGCGACGACAGUGCGUUAGUUAUUCGUUCGUAGACUGACGCCAUGUUACAAAGCUAGGCUUGCGCCUCGGCGUAGGGGAUCAACGGAGGUUGACGCUUUGCCUUACGCCUCGCUAUGCACCACAGGCGGUGGCUGUAGUAAAUAAUAAACUACUAACUGGAAGUCAAUUAUGAACUGGUCAACCAGGUCGGAGACCCCAGAUUUGUAUCGCUUCAAAACGUGGCUAGCACUAGAGUGUCCCGUAAGUAGUCAGAUUAAAAGUAUGGCAUAACACGUAGGGUAAGAUGUAGCGCUAUACGUCCCUUGGUCAGAAAUGUCUGGGGCCAACAAGCAUUCUUAUUUAAAUGGGCGAAUGCAUUGGUUACCGCGAUGGUGAUGGGCAUAGGGGGUACGCCUCACGAAAUGAAGUUUAUACAACUCGGUAUGAUUCUAGAAAUUAUGCACUUUUAGCUGCAGGCUGCAUGAGGAGCCUGAGGUAGUUUCAAACGAUCUGUGAGUUCUCUAGCGCUUUCGGAGGAAGGGAGCCUCGUUUAUCAGACCAUUGGGACAACACCUUUAAACACUUAUAAAAAAAUAUCCACACGUGGUAAGAAUGGCAGCGCAACUUGGCACCUAAGAGUGGAAGCUGCAGGGUUCAAUCUGUCCUGCCCCAACGUCACCGAGAACAUGCAGCCGAGGAGGGAAGUUUGGGAGUAUGGCAGUAUUCCCCUUCAGUCUCUCUGUCCCCAACUGGACGGCGUCCAAUCGCUAUUGUCCUUCCAUGGGAAACUUUUCGCGCGCAGCAAGACCGGCCGGCACGGCCAACGUGAGUCAUCGCGGUUCAAUCUGCAUUGUUUUCAAACACCACGACGUAUUUGCACUGAUUCCACACAAUGGUGCUCAGCGGGCUAGAUUGCGCAGUACUCGUCCCUGCGCCAUUUGGACCCGCAUUAUAAUAGCUCAAGCCAACAUAUUCAUGGGUUUGUGUUUGCCCACAGAAACAAGCCGAUUCCUCGCUUUGCCCUGAUUACCAAAGAAACGUCGUUGACUGCGGACUGCCAUCGCACCCCCAACAGCCCCCUCUCCGUUGACCGCUCUUAUCAUCAUCACCACCACUACUACCCUUCUGCCUUGGCUCCUCUCUUCCCCUCUCUUUCACACCACGUUCUCAUCUCCCGCCUUCUCCCAAAGUUAGCCUGCUCUGGCCGUUGUUCCUCAACCCCCCUUCCCUAGUCCAAAUCCCCAAACCCGUUUCUUCUCCCUGCGUCACAGCUUAUGGACCCUGAAUGGACCCGGAAAACCCAUCUACCUCUGAAUCCAUCAUCCCCUCAUCCAUGCGCGAUGCCACGGCCUUGGCCCCGCUCUCCCCCCUCCGCAGGCAUCGUGACGCCCGCUGACGUGGCACAAACCCUGGAGCUGACCACCCACCAAGUAGACGUCCUGACUGAAGUCCUCGCGGCGCUCUCCUUUGCCAACUCCUUCCCGCCUCCUCCCUCUUCCACUACCACCACCUCAACCACCACCUCAGCCGCCACCGCAACCGGACCGCAGCAAGCCCAGCCCCAGCCACCACCGCAGCUCGGCCAGGAGGAUAUCUACCUUCACGAGCUGUCCCUGUACCUCCUGGCCCAGCUCUUCUGCAAGGAGUCCCAGCGGGCGGAUGCGGUGGAGUACUGGCCCGACCCCAACAGCACCAGCUUUGCGGCGGCGGUGGCGGCGGGGGGAGGGGUGGGUGGUUUCGGAGCGGGACAGGAGCUGCUGUCGCCCACGCGUCGAUCGCAGCCGGGAGGUGAGAGACGAGACGGGACAUGUGGAAGGGCAAUGGCGAUUGGCUGCCCGGAGGAAUGGGAAGGAGUGAGGCGGAGAUGGGAGGCGAGUUAGAUGCAAAAGGCAAAGGGGAAUGACUUCCUUCCUUAAGGAAGGAAGUGGGGGAAGAUGAGGCGGAGGGAAGCCAGAGAGAGAGAAUAUGUCUUUUGUGGAGGAAUGGGCGCUGUGGCUGGGUGGUCAGCCGGGGAUAGGGGGGGAUAGCGGUCUGGGGGUUGGGCGUGGGAGAGGAGCGCAGAUGGGCUUGGGAGGCGCGGGAGAGAGCUAGCUCCAGCACUAGCACAGUUGGAGUGUGUAGGGGGGAGGCAUAUCGGGAGGAAUAUUUGAUACUCGUUCCCCCCGGCUCGGUUCUGACGCGACGAGGGGGCCGGGGCGCAUGCAGGUAGCGCGGUGAAGUGGGUAUGAUGGCGUACAGGCAGUUGAGCCGAUUGAUUGGCCGCCGCCAUCUCGCUCGCUUGCUACCACCAUCACCACUACUAGUCUACUACUGCUGCUAUAACUGCUAUUACUACGAUUACCUCCUGCAUUGGCGCACCCGGAUUUUUGGAACCUCAUCCCCUCGUACCUCUCCCCCCCCUUCACACACAACACACACAUCGUACACCUUGUAGGCCGUAGCCUGCUACGUCAGCAACUCCAGGGGCAUCUCCGUGCUCAGAUCAUGGCCAUGCGUGGUUUCGGAGACUACCUCCGUCGCAACCUGAAACCCGCAGUGGAGCUGGUCCUUGAGUCCUGGCCCCCCCAGCCGGGUGCUCUGGUUUCGGAGCGGGAACUGGACCGGCUGGCGUUUGUGCUGGGGUGUACGACUGGGGGACCCCGGGGGGCUUUGGAACCGGGUGAGUGGUGAAUGGUGGGGCGGUGGGAGAGGGAAUGAGGGGGAGAGGUUUGGGGAAGCUGGAGCCGAGGUAGGAGAGGUGCGCUGCUCUAUUUGUGUGUGUGUGCUCUAUGUGUGCUCUAUGGUGUGCUCUAUGUGUGUGUGAUCAGAAGUUCAAACAUGGCGAUGGGAAGGAAGGAAAAACGAGAGAAGGUAGAAGUAGAACAAAAAGAAGGCUUGGAGGAGGACUUUCCUGCCCCCAUUUCAACAAUCUCACCCCUCCCCGAUGGCCAAAACCGGACAUCGGCAGUUACUUCGAUUCACUUUCGCACCCAGACUCCCACUCCCCACUUCCACUCCUACCUGCCCAGUCAUUCACGUCGUCCUCUGCGUCGUCCAAUCCCUCUCCGCAAAGGAACCCACCACCACUACCCCACUCUCCACUUCGACAUUUCACCCACCCUUAGGGGGCAUCAUCAAAUGAGUUUCAACCCCCCCCCUUCCAAAACGGCCUCCAACGGCCCUCUGCCCCGCCGCCCCCCCCCCGGGUAAUCCCCCAUCUCCCCCAACUCCGCAUCAGAGCCCAUCAGCGCCGCAGUGGCCGCAGCUCACAACGGCACCACAGGGGGCCCAGCAGCACCCGGCAACCCGCCGUACACCCCCUUGCCGGUUGAGUCUGCGGUGGCCGCCCUCCGCCAGUUGUGGCAGGAGGAGUGUGUGGACUCCCCCCGCCUGCUGGCCUUGAGCACCUCCUCGAUAUCCUCCGCCAGCAGCCCGUCACCCAAGUUCCAGAGGUCCAUGGGAAUGGUGGCGCCCGCGGGGCAGGNNNNNNNNNNNNNNNNNNNNNNNNNNNNNNNNNNNNNNNNNNNNNNNNNNNNNNNNNNNNNNNNNNNNNNNNNNNNNNNNNNNNNNNNNNNNNNNNNNNNNNNNNNNNNNNNNNNNNNNNNNNNNNNNNNNNNNNNNNNNNNNNNNNNNNNNNNNNNNNNNNNNNNNNNNNNNNNNNNNNNNNNNNNNNNNNNNNNNNNNNNNNNNNNNNNNNNNNNNNNNNNNNNNNNNNNNNNNNNNNNNNNNNNNNNNNNNNNNNNNNNNNNNNNNNNNNNNNNNNNNNNNNNNNNNNNNNNNNNNNNNNNNNNNNNNNNNNNNNNNNNNNNNNNNNNNNNNNNNNNNNNNNNNNNNNNNNNNNNNNNNNNNNNNNNNNNNNNNNNNNNNNNNNNNNNNNNNNNNNNNNNNNNNNNNNNNNNNNNNNNNNNNNNNNNNNNNNNNNNNNNNNNNNNNNNNNNNNNNNNNNNNNNNNNNNNNNNNNNNNNNNNNNNNNNNNNNNNNNNNNNNNNNNNNNNNNNNNNNNNNNNNNNNNNNNNNNNNNNNNNNNNNNNNNNNNNNNNNNNNNNNNNNNNNNNNNNNNNNNCGCAAUAUGCUGUCAAUUGUUUCUUAUAUUUUGCCAAUUUUCCCCACCGCCCUCUCUUCAGGUCGAUGACCGUGCCAUUGCGGGUGUGUAUCGCGGCACGGUUGUUCGCGGGGAGGGGGAUCUGCCCCUCGGGGAUGUACGGAUCACGGACUGUCACGAGGCGGUCAUUUACCUGCUGGCCCCUCUGCAGGUAAAAGAGGGGAGGGGAGGGGGGCCGGGCGGGGAGAGGGGAGGGGGGGCGGGCGGGGAGAGGGGAGGGGGGGCCGGGCGGGGAGAGGGGAAGGGGGGGGCGGGCGGGGAGAGGGGAGGGGGGCGGGGAGGUUUUAGGUGGUUUGUUACGGUGAGGAAGGAGAAGGGAUGGGGGAAAGAAGAACGGGGGAGCUGUCCCUGUUCCCGAAAUCUCUCUUCUUUUAAAUACAUACAUAUAAGUCAGGUCAGGCACUACUGGUAGAGCACGCACCUAUGCCCCCGGGAGAUCCCGGGAUCGAGACCUGUCAGAGUCGAAAAUCCUUCCUAUGGUGGAGGGUAAUGUGCCCCUAGUCGAUGGACGGUGGUGACCUGGGGUAAAGUUGACUCGCGAGCCGACCUGGAAUGGAGUUAAGCCGCCGUGCUGAUCCGGCGGAUUCCGUUGGAUGCCGGUGGUGGGUGCGGAACCUGAGCGAUCCACUGAGAGGUUGGCUAGGGUGACUGGAUGAGGGUGCCCCGAAUACCGGGGAUGGCAGGGUCUGAAGAUAUGAACCCCCUGUCCCACACAUCAUACAUAUGCACACAAGCGCACAUACCCUACCACCAACGCCACCAACGCCAGCACCAGCACCAGUGCACAGGGCCACCAUCUUUUGUUUGGGCGUUAGUCUGAAUCCCGAGGUGGGGUUUUCUUCCACUCUUUCCACCCAACCCCACCACCACACACACCCCACACACCGCGCCGCCUCCCCCCCUUCACAUCCGGCCCCCAAAACCACCCCCCUCAUCCCCAGGCUGCCUUCAUCAGCGGCUGCAGCGACUGCACCAUCGUGGUGGGGGCGGUGGGCAGAUUGCUGCGAGUGGAGAGGUGCGACAAGGUCCAGGUGGGUGUGGGGGGGGGAGUGGGGGCGGAAAGACGAACCACGAGCGAGUGAAGCUGCUGCCAGGGCAAGAGUGUACCAGAAGUAGGACUUGGGUUUGAGGGGGGGGGGGAAAGAGGAGAGGGCAAUGGAGCGGGCGGCUGUACGGCAGCGAUACCCGAUGCCGCAUGGUAUCAUGCAUCAGCCGUAGCCGCAUUGCAGCGGUGCUGUAAUGAGGGGCAUACAGACAUACAGACAUUCACACACACACACUCAGGCACACACACGCGGCGGAUGCGCAGAAAUGGAUCCACGGAGGAAUAAGGCCGGCGGGUUAACGUAUGUUCCGCAUAUGUCCUUAACCCCCCAACCCCCCGUUCUACCCCUUAACCCCCCCUACCCCUGCUCCCCCCCCACACACACAUAUAUAUACACACACAUACAUAUACACACACCCGCCAGGUUAUCGCGGCCACCAACCGCCUGCUGGUCGCCUCGUGUCACGAGUGCUGCUUCAAUGUGGGCACCCCUCGGGGUCCCGUGCUGGUGGGGGAUAACCGCUUCCUNNNNNNNNNNNNNNNNNNNNNNNNNNNNNNNNNNNNNNNNNNNNNNNNNNNNNNNNNNNNNNNNNNNNNNNNNNNNNNNNNNNNNNNNNNNNNNNNNNNNNNNNNNNNNNNNNNNNNNNNNNNNNNNNNNNNNNNNNNNNNNNNNNNNNNNNNNNNNNNNNNNNNNNNNNNNNNNNNNNNNNNNNNNNNNNNNNNNNNNNNNNNNNNNNNNNNNNNUCUACAUGCAAGAAGCAAACGACGGACUUCCGACUGACGUCUAGAAGCUGUAUUGCAACUGCCAACCCGAGUAGCGGCGGACGCUCAGCCCCAAUAACACCGGGGCGUUUAGGGGAGCCAUGGGGAGGUUAAGCAGGGGAGCAGUGGUGCGAGGGGUUGGAGCUUUAGGGUGAUGGGAAGGUGAAGCGCCAGGUAACCCAUAGAUAGACAGACAGACGGACGAGGACAAGUUACUCGUUUGAUUCGAUCCAAACGGAGGGCAGUGUGCCCCGGGAGGAGGUGAAUUCGGGGGUGAGAGGAGGUUUUGUGUGGGAAUGUGCGUGUGGUGGUGUGUCGCGAUGCGUACAGCAUCAUCACCGCGACGCCCGCGAUCUCCAUCUCCAUCUCCAUACACCCCGCACAGGUAAGGACCGUAAGAGUCUGGCGGGUUCUACACCCAACAGCCCGCGACUGGCUAGCAGCGGCAGUGGAAGUGCGGCGUACUCGUCCUCUGUUGCCAAGUCAAGCUUCAGUCUGCAGUCGCCGGACGAGUUUCUGCCGUUCGUGGUGCCCUUCCUGGGCAGCAAUGGGCCUCUGGCAGGUAGUGCUGGGGUUAGGAAGGAGGGUAGGAAGGAGGGUAGGGGGGAGGGUAGGGGACAGAGGGUGGGUGUAGGAUGGUGGGGACUGUGUGUGCACGUACAUGUGCAGGUGCCCGUGCCCGUGCGUGUAUAAUUUGCACUCCGUCUAAUGGCAAGAUCACCCAAACUCCGAACCCCUGAGUUCCCCCCAUUAUUUGCGCAUCUCUGUGUGGGGUGGGUGGGUGGGGAAAGGGGCCUUGUGGGCCAGGAGCGUCUGAGUGCUGUCUGCCUGUCAGCCAUCAUCAUCAUUAUAAUCGCCAAACCCACACACAUCCGCAAUUGCCGCAUCCGGUCGUUUCUCUCUCUCUCUCACUCCUUGCAUGCGAUUCUCCACACACAUACACACACUCUCUCUCUGUCUCUGUGUGUCUCUCUCUCCCCCCCGUUCCCAGGUGGUGCGGCCCCCGCCAUAGCCAGUCGUUGGAACCACCUGGCCGUCUCAGCGCAACGAGGCCCAGGUCCGCUUUACCUCUUCCCGCUGCCAGCCGAGUACGAGCGAGCGCUGCAGCGGCGACUCAACCUCACUCACGAUAUGCGCAGCAAGUUCAAGCAGGUAACGGACGGGGUUGCUGGUGGAGUGGGGGGAGUGGGUGCGUGCGUGGGGAGUUUCGGAGGGUGGGGACGGCAGUUGGCAGUUGACGGUUGGUGUGAGGUGAUGAUUGCGGUAGGGGCGGUAGGGGGUUUGAACGAUAACGGUGGUGUGCUGGCUGGCAGGGGUAGGGCUAGGUGCUGGUUGGUUGGCUGGUAGAACUGAGGGGGAAAGCUGUGUAGGUCCUACUCUUAGGGUUGGGCUUCUAAAGGUGUGUCAUCGCCCUCUGCAUCAUGCAGCCUCCAUCUUUUACCCGUACUGCGCGCUACAAACCGUCCUGACCCCGUGGUAUGCCGUACGCGGUGCACCUCCAAAAAACGUGAGAAGUUCACAGAGCAGUCGCGGCCCCGAGGAGUUCGCAGAAGAGCAGUCUCGCGUCAUCGCCCAUUGGACUACUCCUCCUCCUGCAGUUUGCGGCGACUUUGGACGCCUUCCGGCAGUUAUUGUUUUCCCCCUUCUUGACUUCUUGGCAGGGCACGGCAUUGUACAACAAUCCCCCAUCCAUCCUAAACCGCUCCAACCCUCCCCGAACCCAUGUUUUGGGCUUUGGAUGCCUUCCGGCAGUCAGUCCGUUUUUUAUUAUUGUUUCCCGGCAUUUGAUUGCCCCCACGCCCCCCACCACCACCACCCGGUUUCAGGCUGGUUUGACGAAGGACAAGGAGCGGGAGUUGAAUGACGCCAUUCAGAGCUACUUCAAGGAGUGGCUGGUCGGCUCCAACCUGCUGAGGCAGAUCUACGACCUGUCCACACUGGAAAAGGAGGAGAUGGCGGCGGCGGCUGCAGCCAGUGCCAGUGCCUCGGCGGUGGGGCUGUCACCCAUUCCGGGACCAGCGGGCCUGGCGGACGCGCGCUGAGAAGAUCGGAACGCGGAAGCGGAAACCUUAUGACAGCGGAGUCGACUCGGCCCACCUCAGCUCAGCUCGCCGCGCCGCGCCGGUCUCAUAUGCGGCUGUAGCGGCCGCCGCUGCCGGGGCGGGGGAAGUAGCACAGCUACUGCCCGGGGCCCGACGGGGACGUGUGAUGCGAAUAUACCGACAGCCACGUGCACCAACCAUAGACGUACGGAGGAGGGGGGUUGCGGUAUUUUGGGUAAGGGCUUCGUCUAUAGCAGCUGUGACAUCAUGCGCUGUGACUCAAUUACAUUUCCGCUGACGCUGGUUGUACUGGUGGUGGUGGGAUGGGAUGGGAUGGGGUGUUGCACUUACCUUUGGAAAUUAAUGGUCGAUGGAUGGAUGGAUGUGUGGAUGUGUGUCAGGUCUGUCUUUGUGGUUGCGAAUGCGAGGUGGCAACUGGGUGAGGUGUGGGAGUCUUGAAUGUUCUGACAGAUGACGUUGCACCCGUCUAGUCGUGGUGUUGUGUAGGGUUGGGACUGGUUUCGGAGCUGACAAGGAGGACUGCCCAUUUACUACGUGUUGCAGUAGUAUAGCUGUGUUUGCGUAGGAAUAUGGUUUUCUGUAAGGCUGUCUGUCCGUAUGUCCAUGCAUGCUUUAAAUGUGGGCGGUUGUGGUGCAGUGGGGUUUGGGGCCUAACCUUAAAAAGGGGCGCUGUUGUGUGUUUUUAGGGAUUUGUCAACAUGGUAGGUGUAAGGACAUACAUACAAUGGGUUACAGGGCGGUUUGGGGAGCAGGAGCCGAACCGCUUUGGGCUUGUGGGGCAGGCAUUUUCUCUCUCACUCUCCCUCCUUCGCGGCUGGUGACGAUGAUGCACGCAAAAGCUCUUAACAAAAAAUAAUUGAAAAAAUCACAGAACUCUCUGACACUGAAGUUGUGCGUGUGUAUUUGAAUAUACAGCGUGUGUCGAGUGCCAUGUAAGAAACACUUUUGCUGCGCGCUGUCGAGUUGCAGUGCAUGCCUACUACCUUCACCUGCCUGCCUUUUUUUCAUCAGCACGCCCCACACACCCGACUCAACAGCACAGCUUUACACAUUUUCCUUCAAUCACGCUCACUCUGACUUAAUAAGUGAUACGAAUACUCCAAACCCUGUCGCAACGCGUUGGUCGAUUAUCGCUGGGCACUAGAGCAACAAUAUUAACGCAGCCAUCAACGUAUGUACGGCAUCAGUGGUUCGUACUCCCCAGCGUGUGCUGCCUCCCAUUUCGCUGUGUCGCCGCAGCCAGUUCGCGGCCUCACCACGCCCCCCUGCCCAACCUCUGCUGGUUCCCGCGGGUAUACUCGACACCGUACGACCUCCCACGUGUCCCGCAACAUGCCGUACUUUUGUUCGUACACUAACGCUCGAGUGGCGUCGUCCUCGUGCUGCACCAUGAUUGACGGCGCGCUGUUGAACUCCAGUAACCACGGCUUCAGCCGCUCGUCCAACAGAAAAUCCACGCCGAGGACCUGGAAUCCGUACUCUUGUACGGCAGGUCGUAACCAGGCGUGCGCUUCCACUAGCGAUGGUGCCGCGGCUGCUAGUGCGCGACUGCAGGCGCCGCGCAGCGCUUCCCACACGCCGCUAAAUCGUGCCGGCCCCAAAUGCUCAGCCAGUUGAUGGAGCCCCCAGACCAGAGUGUUGUUGUUGCGCGCGUAGUUGGUGAUGUGGCUGGCGGGGAGCUGGUAAUGCGCCGCGGCGGCAGAGGAUUCCGGCGGUGGCGGCGACAGCGGAGGGCCAGCGGCAGCGGCGCCGCCGCCACCACCACCGCGCGGCUGCUGACGCUCCGCGGCGGCCUUGUCGUACGGAUCGGUGCUGAAGAGCACUAGCCCUCGUCUAGUGCUCAUCGCCCCGAGAAAUGAAUUGUUGACGGCGGGCGGGACAGACAGCGGAAGGUUGAGAAUGGGAGAGCGCACUCGGUACACUAACGAAGCGGGUUUGGAGGCUAGGAGAGAUAAGUAAAGGGACAGAAACACAGUCACACUCACACCCGUCCGCUUCAGCUUCCGCUUCUCGCCCUGAACUCUCCCCCUCCCUCCCACACACACACACUUCCCCUCCUUCACUCCACCCCUCCACAACUUCCUCCCCCCCUACACACAUACACAUUUACCUGUGCAGGUACGCCCGCAGCGGGCUAUGACACGUCACCAACAGCCACAGCCGCAGGUGAAACUUGCGACCCAGGACCAGGAACGGGUUUGUGAUGUACUGCUGGGCCACCUGCAGCUGGAAACGCCUACUGCUGCUGCUGCUGCCGCUACUGCCGUCGUCUCCUUGCUGCUGCUGCUGCUGCUGCUGCAGCCUCUCACGCGCGUACUUCAGCGCCGAUUCGGCAGGCAGCAGGCUCAGGCCCUUGCCUACACGCAAGUCGCGCAAAGCUUCGUAAUUAAGAUGGGGUGCAGCAGAGAUGCGAUUCCCCUUCCUCGAGGCGAGGGUUCGGGGGGGAGGGUGUUGAGGGUUGUGGGGACGAACCAUUGGCAAUUGAAGCAGAUGCCAGAGAUCAACGGUCGCGGGGGUUGGUGGAGGGAAGAGAAGAAACGCCAUUAGGCUGAAAGAGAGGAAAAAAACCUUUCCCUCCCCCAUAUCCCCCCCUACCUCCCCUCCUCCCCUCCUCUCCCCCCCCCACACACACUCACCCGCGUCCUGACCAGUCUUGAGGAUCCAAAGCGAGGAACCAAAUCCACCAAUAUCACCUCCGGCACCAUUUCCACUCACAUUGCCACCACCACCACCGUCACCGCCGUCAUCACCCUGUCCCUCCUCCCUCCCUUGGCUCUGCAUCCCCUGCUGCUGGUUGUUGCGGUUGUGGCGGUUAUAGUGCUGUUGUUGCCGCUUCAAGAAGUCCUCCCAGGCGCCCAUGUCCUCGGGGAGCGCGAAGGAGCAAGGUGUGAUGGCGAAGGCCGCCUCCGGCCCCAGCGCUCCCCUCAGCGUCAACAGCAGCCGCUUCUUCAUGGUCAGACAGUUGAGGCCGAUGACGGCGCUGACCUGCAGGCAGGUAGCACCACACCACACCACACCACACCAGGCCACACCACACCAGGCCGCACCGGAGCGGGGUUGUGGAGUCAGUGAGCAGGUCGGCCUCGAGUGAAGUGCUGUGCUGCCAGGAGAAUGAGGAGAAAUCAGGAAGCGAAGGAAGAAGGGCUUGGAAAGAGCCCCCACAAUGGCAGUGAGAACGGGCUCCCCUUCCUUCUUCCGAGCACUUGCGCGGCGUCCAUAUGCUGGGGCCCACCUAGCUUAUCGUGUUCCUCUUCGCGCUCUCUUCCACAUCCCCCUUGACCCCCUUAACCCGCGUCCCCUCUCUCUUUCCCACCAGUUGACCCGGCCGCAUGCUGCGAGCCGCGGAAAUGGCGUACGUGGACUUGGUCCACAGCACCUCCCAGCACUCCAUGUUACUCGAGCCGAGAGAGGGUCUGCGGAGAGGGAGGGGGAGGCGGGGAGGGACGGAGAGUAAUGCAAGGCCGGCGGAGCCCCUCCCCCCUUUCACACGCCCACACGCUCACGCAAAACCCGCUUACUAUCCAUGUAAAUCCGUACCCCGGUGCAGCCGCCGCCUCGGCCGCCUCCUCAGCCGUCAACUGCUGCUGCUGCCGUCGCCGCCGCCACCGCCGCAGCUCCCGCUCCUCCUGCCUGCUGGGUCCGCCAGUACGGACGCCGCCCGCCUCCGUCAGCACCGCCUCGAAGAGCUCCACCGCCACGCGGCCCUGACUCCAAAGCAGCUCAUCCACCCAGAACCUAGGGCGGGCGGGCGGGCGGGCGGGCGACGACGACGACGACCAAGGUACGGUGGAGGGGGCGGCGGAGGCGACGGGGGUAGCGGUUGGUGCUGGUGUUGGUGUUGAUGGUCAGGGAAGUGAGUGCAGUCAGGGCUCGUGAAGCGGACGGAAGGGGGUCGAGUGUGAGGGGUUACUUCGCACUCGCCCGGUGGUUUCCCGGAGGGGUUGGCUGCGGCACCUCUCUUGGCUGUGGCACCCGCGAACCGGAGGAAGGAGGAAGGAGGAAGGGCUUCAUGACGUCAUGUUCCAAAGCGGCCUCGCGCAUCCGGACCUUCCAGAUGGAAAUUGAUCGACCCUCCUAUUGUCACGAUAUGGCCCUGUGUACUCUGAUGGCCUCCCUGCUCCGCACCUGAAUGGGGCCCGCGGCGCCGCCGUAAUCCGCUCCGGAACCAGGGCAACCCGCCGGAGAUCCACACCUGACGUGGGCAGGUUAGUAAUUACAAAGGAAGACAGUUGUGACGGUUAUUGUAACCGUGGGAUGCUGGUGGAGGUGACGAUGUGCCGUGCGUGGGAAUACACACAUGCAUGCCUGGGCCAAGGCACACGCACAUACAUACACCUACCUACCUACAUACAUACACACAUUUACAUCCAAAGGGUUUCGCAAAGGCAACCGGGAGCGGGUCUGUCCGGGUGCAGAGGGGGCAAGAGGACCCUACCCUCGCCUGCGACCCACAUCUGUUCAGGGGGCUCCCUCUUCUUCUGUGCAUCCUUGAGCCACCCAACCCAUGUAUGAGAGAGGCAUCCGUCGCUGCUCACUGGGUGGAAUGCGUUGGUCAAAAAGGGGGGGAUGGGCGCCGCCACCGUUAUGGCGAUCGACCGGAAGAGCAUGCGUCCGAAAGCCUGCUCUCUUUUUAGAUCUUGCGCUUUGGCUGAGGUACCCUAGUGAGCAUGCUGGGGCCGAAGUCGACUGCCGUGGAUCUUCGGAGGCGAAGCCGGGAUGCCGCCGCGUGACGGCAGCAGCAGUUUCCGGUCCACGGGCGACAAGGUGCUCCAGUUGCAUGCUACAUGCAAUUAGUCUCUGUAGUACGGAAUCCAAAAUGCCGUGGAAAUUUUACGGACUCGUGAUGACCGUCAAGUGUCGAAAUUCAACUGCAUUCCACGUAUUGUUCGGCUGGACGAGCAGGGAUCGAUUGCAUAUGGUUAAUCAAAAUACAAGUAGGAGUUAGUACAAGGACUGCAAUCUACACGUUAUGCGUGUACCAUUUACCAUGAUGCUUAAGAAAACGGGGUGGACGAUCAACUACCGCUGGACGUGCAGCCAACCGACGCCCUUUCAAUUUGCACCGCACUCACAGUCUUGGAGCAAAAUUGUCCUGCUUUCAUCUUCUGAGGCACUGAAAUUUUGCUGCUGGGUUUUCGCAAAAGCACUCGCAAACCUGCACACUUCCCAGAAAGGUUCCCGUUAAGCGGCUUCCGGCUUUGAGUACGCGAAACGCUCAGGUAACGAUUUUAAAUAUCCUGUGCAUGAAAAUGUUUACAGUUUGGACAAGGCCGAGGCAGUGUUUUGAGGGAGGGAUUCCGUUCGGUGGCGUUCCGGCGCCGUUUAUUAUUGGACCGAAAUUGAAAGUGUUCUUCACAUGUAAACGCGGGAACUGAACCCAUGUUGGCAUCCAACGACGACAUGGCGUAGGCCGUAAGCCGUUUGAACACACGGAAUUUGUUCAUGCCAGCACGCACGACUGGAUUUUUGACUCGCCACAGCUCGCACCCAGACGCUGUGUAUGUUCGUGUGUUCGUGUUGCACAUUGAUCCGGGCCUGACGCGUUUGUGUGUAUGUGUGUGCGUGUGUGUGUGUGUGUGUAUGUGUGUGUAUGUGUGUGUAUGUGUGUGUAUGUGUGUGUAUGUGUGUGUAUGUAAUGUAAUGUUACAGAGUGGGAGGCUUCUGGGCCGCUUUAUCACAUUGUCAGUUCUACGAUUUAUCAUCUUAUAGCACCAUCCACCACUACCACACUAUACUUCGCCAUACGAACUGUAAGUCCAAGGCCGCGGGUCCAGCCGUCUAGGACCCCUCCUCAUCCAUUCACCCGAACAACCAAAGAGACGGAGGAUUCGGCAAUCGCCAACAAUCCAGCGUGCGAAUCUGGUCCAUCAACUGCCACCUCAACUCCACAUCUCAGCAGCUAGCCAUAAUCUCGCGCUCCCGACUAAUUCGGGGGUCUCCCCAGGACCUUAAACCGCGAAUCGCAGUAGUGUCAACCCAGACCAGAGUGUGUAUGUGUGUAUGUGUGUGUAUGUGUGUGUAUGUGUAUGUGUGUGUAUGUGUGUGUAUGUGUGUAUGUGUGUGUGUCUGUGUGUGUAUGUGUGUAUAUGUGUGUCUGUGUGUGUGUGUGCGUAUGUAUAUAUGUGUGUGUACAUGUAUGCUCAGCCAUAUAACAUAAACACGAUGUCAUGAACUACCGCCGUGUUCAUGCUGAACCGUGCUUGCCUUGCCUUAACCGUUAACUAAAUUAAGAAGUUGGUCGUUUGGGUCAUUCGUUCGGUAUCAUAAGGAUAUCCCGUUCUUCUCACCUGCCUGCCUGCCCGGCCGGCAGUGCCUGGUAAAGAUUGCAGCGACCAAUCAAUGCUCUGUAAUGCGGCCACACUCAGAACGCGAGUAUAUCGUACGGGACAGAUGACCUGCUGUCACGACAUUUUAGAGUCACGUUCAUUUUACCGUCUUUUAUAAUUGUCUGCUGUGUACAAAAGCCAAUCAAGUCCUCAGAUUUGGGAGAAGCACGUCGUGUGUACGGCCCCCCAGGUAUUUGACGUUCUCAUCUACAGCUUACUUCUCCGGACUCAAGGUGGCCUUGCUGAGGGCGCCCUUAGGCGGAUAGCGCCUGAAAAAGAUGUUGGGUUUCAAGUCAUUGGACGUCCGGGGUGGGUGGGGUGAAAAAGUGGAACAAAGCCCUGCUCACCAAGCCAAAGCCACAAGGACAGUUUACCAGAGCCCCCGCUGAUUCGACGCUAGGAUUUCAGGUCCACUGCUGGCUCCAGGGGGGAGAUGCAAUCUCCACCGUAGCCUCCAGGAAGCAGCACCAGCGAGCUUUGGAAGCUGUAGGGGAAGGGGCACGGCGGUCGCGUUGCAGCCGCGGCAGGGGCCGCGCAGUAGACAGCAGUCGGAAGCAAGCUGUAGAGGGGAUGUAGCAACGCGAACAAAGAAAGCAAAGAAACGCUUGGCGAGUAAGUCGGUCGGGGUCGGUCCGUCGACUAUUUCUCCCCCGGCCGGGGCAAGCGCCAGAGCCAGAAUGGCACGUUUGUGUGAUUAUUGCGGAAUGUGGAAGAUCAUUCUAGAUCGGCCUGAGCAGGAUCUAGCCGGGUUCGCGCCUCUUUGCCCGUUAUUGCGUUGUGGGUGCUUUUGCUAGUUUAGGCUCCAACAAAUAUGAUUUCGAAUCGGAGUGCUUCUUUCCGGCAGCGGAAUCUUUUUGCUCCCUGUGUGCGUAUAACGCAGCGGGCUUUAGUUCGGCGACAGGCACUGGCGGCACAUGGAAAGUGACUGUGGAAGUGUAGGAUCAAUACCGGCAAAAGUCAUUUGUUGUUUUUACCUAUAGCAUCAUGCCUCUUUAGCUAUUGUUGUUGGAAUUUAAAGAACGUAUCUUCUCGCAUCGUCUCGCGUUAUCUCGCGAUAUCAAUUGACGACAAGGUGAAGGUAAGGAGACGAGCAGGAAGUAAAUGCAGUACGCGACAGUCGGGACAAAAUCUACCUUGUCCGUAAAAGAGCCUUGGCAGUUGGUCCGUUCGGGGGGGUAGUGCAGUUUCAUUCGUUAUUCGAGAAAAAGAUUCCGGCGUUUCGCCAACUUGCGGCAGUUGCGGCUGCGUGUCGUACGCUCGGCCAUCGCAUACUUCCAUCCAGAAAUAUCUCGCGAAGAUAUUUUACUGGGUCUACCCGUUGAAACAUAAUAGAAUUUAAAAUUCAUAAGGAUUCUCCUGUCUAAUCCUCGUUUCAGUGCUACCAUGCGUCAGUUCGCAAUAUCCGCUGGACAUUUAUGCCUGCUGCUCCUUGCCUGUACGCAAGGUAAGUACUUCUGUGAGUUAUGAUUCGUGUAGUGUGCAUGCAGACUGCAAUGUAGAGACAUUGGCGCGGCGAAAACAAUCUCCCGGCGUUUCUUGCGUGUUUCGGGAUCGCGCGCAGCAGGCGGCGUCAUGGGCCAAGGUACCAUAAAAGUUGUUGGAGACCGGUUCAUCCAUCCGAAGGCAAGUAGUUGAAUGUUAUUGCCGGUGUGUUGGCAACAGAAACGCAGAUUAUUCGUACUGCGCCUUGCCAAAGCCGGAGGCGCCCACGCAUGAAUGCAGUUCUGGCGCUCUUACGUGUGAGCUUUACUCUGUUUAGCUUAAGUUCGCGAUGCGCAUUACCGUCCCUGUGGGGACUGCUGUGUUCUAGAUCAUUUACCACCUUCCGAAACUAGCCUUCAAUUUGACCUAUAGCUUAGUGAACACGCAGUUUCGUAAAACUUAAUACUUACUUAUAAAACUCUUCCUCUUCCUGGAGAGUUGUUAUCGGUCGCAGACGCACCUUAGGUAGGCUACCAUCACCUCGCGAAGCCUAGCACGUGCGUGAAAUGUAACGGACAAACAUGUAACAAAAAAACCUUUUUCACUCGAUAAGUCUCGCCCGCUGCGUUUGCCACCUGCCGGCCACUCGAGUUUAUUACACAAAUUGUUACCAUUCGACGGCAUUCCUGUAAAACAAGGUCCUACCUAAUGAAUAUUAAUUUUACGUCAUUCAUGCAGGUGAAGACAGCAGUACUGCAGUGCUGGUGACCUGUGUUGGUCGAAUCACCGUUUCGAUGGAUCAAUCGUUUCGCAGUGCUGCAUUCAUCUAUGCGACUGAAUAACAAAUAAAAACUAUGUAUGUUACCCCUACGCAGGGGACCCCCCAGGACUACCUCCAAACUUAUGUUAUUCUCCCUGUCGAUCACACAUCGCGCACGCCGCCCCUCGCUGUGGGUGUGGAGCUGACGGAGGGUUUUGUGUCCAAGGCCACCAAGCUGCCCAAACUGCUCAACAUCCCUAUCCCGAUCGGACCCACGGAGACCUUCAGCUACUCUGCAUUUGAACAGCCGGCAGCUUUCUUCCCGAUGGUGGGCACCAACCCCUUCGGGUAAGCGCGGGACUAGUGGUCUAUUUUUUUUAAGCCGCACGGCACCGACGACGAUGGUAGCUGUAAAACCCUGAAGUUACUAGCUACCAGUUCCAUUAAAAUACCGAGGGCGGGGUAGAGUGGCCUGUUGUUGAAGCCCUAUGGGGGUUCCGUGGUACCGUUAAGGGAAGAAGACAUGUAUCCCGAAACACGCAGACUUUCCUCUCUUAAGCUGUCUUAAGCUCUUUAUUUACUUCGUUAUCCACAUCAAGCGCAGUAACGUGUCCUGCUGCUUAACAAGUGUAUAUGUACGAAAGCCAAAUCUUUUUUAUAUACGCCAUGUAUACUACAAGGGCAGUCGAGGCCUUCAACAGCGUGUAUGCGCGAGGUCUUGUUUUGCUACUACCUGCCAGUCGGUGCUUUCCGUUCCAUGCACUUGCUCUGCUCCGUUUUUCUAUGUGCGUGGUUUCGUGCAGCCCAUUUAGCCGAGAGGCCGCACCUGCCACCCGUGAUCACAUUUAUAUAUUUGCUGAGUAGCAGUGUGUCUACACUGCUACUGUAACAACCACACACCACACACACAUACACACAUACACGAUCUACAUGAUGGUUUAAUGCGCCAGCUAACGGUCGUCCAGCUUUUCAUGAUCACGCUGCCUUGAGUGAGCGCCGCGUCCUCCGGCCACCCCUUCCUCCACCCCUUACCUUUUCCCUUCUUGCAUCUUCUUUCUGCCGUACGUUCGCUCGCGUGUUGUUAGGUUUGUAUACUGGUCGUACGCAUUCAACGGCCACCCUGGAGUCGGUAAGUGCUCUAAUUUCAUGCGUACUUAGGACGAUGUUUACUUAGAGCAGCCGCGAGUGUGUUUAACACAUGACGGUGAUGGUGAUGGUGAUGGUGAUGGUGAUGGUGAUGGUGAUGGUGAUGAUAACCUUUAAAUAUCUCUGUACAUGAAGUAUCAGUGCUGAGAGCCUCAGGGGUUUCCUGGAGGGGCUGCCGGACUCGCCCGGACUCACCCUCGCAGACUACCUACCAGUUGAAACGCUUCACCACGUACCGUGUUACACAUUUGUGCGUCGUGCAGUCGCCACCGAACAAAAGCUAAUAGCUACAGGAGCUAUUGUUACCCGCGGCACAUCAUCGCCAUUGACUAAAAUCCUUUUGGAAUGGCGGUUAUAUCCUGGAGACGUAUUCCUAACAUACUCCUUUUCCUUUCACGUGCGGGAACAUGGCGCAGGCAUCUACGACGUACCACACUUCGAUUUCCACUUCAUGUUCCCGUCGUACGAUUACUGGUGGAACCAGGAGUGGAAUGUGAACAGUCACGGGCCCUGCAUGGGCGGCAGUAAUGCAACCUUCUUCAAGACCUUCAAGCCGAUCCCAUCUUGCUGCUGGCCAGGAAGCACACUAGGCCCUAUCAUUCAAGCGGGGGACUUCGUUUGGGGGGUGAGAGUAUGUGCGAAGCAGCACAUGGACAUACAUACAUACAUACGCACAUACGCACAUACGCACAUACGCACACAUGCAGCCAGCGCCAUCGUGAAGACCUGGUCGUUCCCUAGAAGAAGAAAACGUCCAGGCAUGGCAUGGAAUGCAUACAUACAUACAUGCAUACAUUUAUACAUACAAUAUCAACUUGCGAGCUGACCAGGAACUAAGUUGAUGCGCCGUUGAUCCGCUAGAUUUGGUUGGAUGCUGGUGGUGAGUUGCCGAACCCAACGAAUACAUUCUGAAGUCGGAUGGGGUGACGGAUUAGGGUGCCCCUCUAGCAGGGGAGAGCAGGGACUGCCCCUGGAAAGGGGGCCGCUGGCGAAGUGUAACAACAUACAUACAUUUAGGCAGGCGGCUGGCAGAGGUUAAGGCCUGACUUCUGCUCCCAGUCG